AAGUGGUGGCAGGGAAGGCCUCAUUGAGGUGACACUGGAGUGAAAUUUGAAGGUCAUGGCAUGAACCAUGUGACCAAGGAAGCAGCAAACAAACCCUGAGGCAGCAAGAGCAACUCACCACCAGCCUUGGGCCCAGAAGCAUGCCCUGUCUCCCUGCCCAGUCCCCCGGAAGCCUCCACACUCAAGGGCCCUCCACCUGAGGCAGAUCUUCCUAGGAGCCCUGGAAACUUGACGGAGAGAGAAGAGCUGGCAGGGAGCCUGGCCCGGGCUAUUGCAGGUGGAGACGAGAAGGGGGCAGCCCAAGUGGCAGCCGUCCUGGCCCAGCAUCGUGUGGCCCUGAGUGUUCAGCUUCAGGAGGCCUGCUUCCCACCUGGCCCCAUCAGGCUGCAGGUCACACUUGAAGACGCUGCCUCUGCCGCAUCCGCCGCGUCCUCUGCACACGUUGCCCUGCAGGUCCACCCCCACUGCACUGUUGCAGCUCUCCAGGAGCAGGUGUUCUCAGAGCUCGGUUUCCCGCCAGCCGUGCAACGCUGGGUCAUCGGACGGUGCCUGUGUGUGCCUGAGCGCAGCCUUGCCUCUUACGGGGUUCGGCAGGAUGGGGACCCUGCUUUCCUCUACUUGCUGUCAGCUCCUCGAGAAGCCCCAGGUCAGUCCUCGAUGGGGGUGGGGUGUG
This 673-nucleotide long non-coding RNA is filed under the name Homo sapiens (human). Its description in RNAcentral is "non-protein coding lnc-SHARPIN-4:5". Lineage: Eukaryota; Metazoa; Chordata; Mammalia; Primates; Hominidae. The record is from RNAcentral.